RNAcentral lists this non-coding RNA (28 nucleotides) under Mus musculus (house mouse). The record is from RNAcentral. Lineage: Eukaryota; Metazoa; Chordata; Mammalia; Rodentia; Muridae.
UAGAAAGCCUGUCAAGUGUUAUUCACAG